AGAAUUUUAAGUUAUUUAAACUUAAAGCCUUCAAAGCUUUGUAAAAAAGUCCUAAUCUUUUAAAUUCUA
Molecule: transfer RNA, 69 nt
Filed under: Asthenognathus inaequipes
Lineage: Eukaryota; Metazoa; Arthropoda; Malacostraca; Decapoda; Varunidae
Description: tRNA-Trp
Source: RNAcentral